UACGUAGGGGGCAAGCGUUGUCCGGAAUCAUUGGGCGUAAAGAGCGUGUAGGCGGCCAGAUAAGUCUGCUGUGAAAACUCGAGGCUUAACCUCGAGCUGUCGGCGGAAACCAUCUGGCUAGAGUCCGGAAGAGGAGAAUGGAAUUCCCGGUGUAGCGGUGGAAUGCGCAGAUAUCUGGAGGAACACCGGUGGCGAAGGCGGCAUCCUGGACCGGCAUUGACGCUGAGGCGCGAAAGCCAGGGGAGCAAAGCGGG
This 254-nucleotide ribosomal RNA is filed under the name uncultured bacterium. RNAcentral's name for it is "partial 16S ribosomal RNA". It matches the Rfam family "Bacterial small subunit ribosomal RNA", at positions 524 to 777 of the family's 1533-position model. The record is from RNAcentral.